UACAGAGGUCCCAAGCGUUGUUCGGAUUUACUGGGCGUAAAGGGUGCGUAGGUGGCGAGGUAAGUUCGAUGUGAAAUCUCCGAGCUCAACUCGGAAAUGGCAUUGAAUACUAUCCCGCUUGAGGGUCGGAGGGGAGACUGGAAUUCUCGGUGUAGCAGUGAAAUGCGUAGAUAUCGAGAGGAACACCAGUGGCGAAGGCGAGUCUCUGGACGACUCCUGACACUGAGGCACGAAGGCCAGGGGAGCAAACGGG
This 253-nucleotide ribosomal RNA is filed under the name uncultured bacterium. Its description in RNAcentral is "partial 16S ribosomal RNA". It matches the Rfam family "Bacterial small subunit ribosomal RNA", at positions 524 to 776 of the family's 1533-position model. The record is from RNAcentral.